Molecule: long non-coding RNA, 310 nt
Filed under: Prunus persica (peach)
Lineage: Eukaryota; Viridiplantae; Streptophyta; Magnoliopsida; Rosales; Rosaceae
Description: long non-coding RNA (PPER_LNC005174)
Source: RNAcentral
GAAAAGCACAUGGAUGGGCCCCACUACAAAUUUGGCCUAGGCCAAAGCUGGGCUACAUUUGGCCCGGUUAGAGGGCCAAAGGGCCAAAUAUGACCAAAAUUUUGUUUAGCCCAUGGCUGGAGAUGGGUUUUGCAUUAUUUUAUGGCUAUAUUUGGGAUAUAGCCCCUGGCUGGAGAUGGCCUAACAUGUCCUCUUUGACAAAUAUGGUUUAGGUCAGUUGGUCAGGACUCCGUCUUUUUGCAUUUGAGUUCAAGUCUUCCUCUCCGUAAAUUAGAUUAAUAUAAACUAUAAUAAAGUAGUUUAAACUCUC